GGCCUGAUGGUGUAAUGGUAACACAUCCUACAUUCUUCAUGAGGAGCAUUGCAACAUUUCAUGGGAAGACCCUUGUUCGAUUCAAGGUCAGGCCA
Non-coding RNA from Mycena filopes, 95 nucleotides. The record is from the annotation of a GenBank genome assembly. Lineage: Eukaryota; Fungi; Basidiomycota; Agaricomycetes; Agaricales; Mycenaceae.